GAUGCUGGCACCAACUUUGAACCAUAACAAAUGCAAUCUGCAUUAAAUCGAGGAGGCCAGUUGCAGGUUGAAAUGAGGACUGGUUCUGCAGCUCUGAAGAUGAAAUAAACAAGUCACUUCAGAUAUCAUUUAUCAUUAAGACAGGAAGCAGUUCCACAAAGUCAUUUUAACCAGAAAUGUCAAGGACUAAACUUGGGACUCUACACAUACAAGAAAUGUCAUUGAGUGAUGGUCCUACUCAAAGAUGAUCAAGGGUCUGGAAAUCAAGCCUUAGGAGGAACGGCUGAAGGAGCUUGGUAUGUUUAGCCUGGAAAAGAGGAGACUGAGAUAGCCAUCUUCAAAUAUAUCAAGGGCUGUCACAUGGAAGAUGCAGCAAGCUUGUUUUCUCUUGCCCCAGAGAGUAUGACUCGAUCCAGCAGAUUCAAGUUACAAGAAAGGAGAUUCCAGCUAAACAUCAAGAAGAACUUUCUGAGGGGAGGAGCUGUUUGACAGUCGAAAAAACUGCCUAGAGUGGCAGUUCUUGGUGGUGGACUCUCCUUCCUUGCAGGUUUUUAAGCAUAGGUUGGAUGGUCAUCUGUUAUGAAUGCUUUAGUUGAGAUUCCCACAUUGCAGGGUUUGGACUUGAUGACCCUUGGGGUCCCUUCCAACUCUACAAUUCUGUGAUUCUACUCUUUAAAUUUAGGCUAUUCUUAUUAAUAACCUGUAUUCAUAAACUAAGUGUUUGUGUAAAUAUAAGCUAUCCUCCUCAGUUUUAAUACCAGUUAUAUGUUUUCUUCUUUGACACUGAUAGCAAAGCAAAAACAUCUACAGUCAAAUUUCAGAAUGCAGAUAAAAAUUAAAAGUUGCCUUUAAAAUGUAA
Long non-coding RNA from Podarcis raffonei (Aeolian wall lizard), 859 nucleotides. RefSeq lists it as uncharacterized. NCBI's taxonomy places the organism in Eukaryota, Metazoa, Chordata, Lepidosauria, Squamata, Lacertidae. The record is from RefSeq and is a predicted model, not a curated record. The transcript has 4 exons.